AAUGCUGAAGGCUUGAGUUUACCUCAAAAUUUAAAGACGUCGGCUCUAGUGGCUUAUUCUGAUAUGGAAAUGGAGCAUUAAACAUUGGUUAGGUUUUGAUACCCAGGAAAAAGAAACUUGGACCAGAAAUGGCUUAACGGGUCCUCUCAGAUUUUCCCACUUUGUUUUCGAGGAGCAAUAUAGGUUGCCAAGGUUUCACCAGACGGAGACACCUGCAGCUAUACGUGGCAUCUUACUGCUGGAACUAUAAAGGGGACCAACAGACAACAGAUGACAUGUUUCAGUAACGGCCUCAGCCUCCAUGGCUUGGCCCAGAUGGAAAUUCCAGACAGGAAUGAUGGGAAAUCAAAGAUGUUACAAGGGGAUUGCAAGAUGAGGCAGACAUGAUGGCUGAUAUAUCAGCUUUAUGACUUGAACCUGUCUUUGAUAUCAUUCAAUUUAUUGACGACAAAAGUCAUAAUCAUCCGCUCAGUUGGUGAUGCUGCAGAACAGGAGAGUCCCAUUUUCAUGACAGGAACUACGAAUUCUUCGACCAUGCUUGCAGCACUGACACGGGGAUGGGGUUUCCUCAUCAUGAUCAACUCUGUCUCUUCUGCGUUCUCUUCUUCGGAAAGCAUAGAUAGGUCAACAACAUCCAUGACAUGUUCGGGCAAGGCUACUUCGACGAAAUUGUGAAGGCUCUGAUCGUCUUUGAACAUGUCAUCUGUUGGACUUUUACCUGUAAACAUCUCCAGUAACAGUAUCCCAUAGCUGUAAAUAUCUCCGUGUAUUGAAGCUUGACCACCUAUGCCAUACUCUGCAACUUGUAACAGAUUUUAAUUAGUCAUUGAAUUUUGGCAAUUUCAUGUGUGCUAAUGUACACACAAACA
RNAcentral lists this small RNA (869 nucleotides) under Theobroma cacao (cacao). Its description in RNAcentral is "sRNA Tc05v2_g001650". Lineage: Eukaryota; Viridiplantae; Streptophyta; Magnoliopsida; Malvales; Malvaceae. The record is from RNAcentral.